CCAAUAGCGUAUAUUAAAGUUGUUGCAGUUAAAAAGCUCGUAGUUGAAUUUCGGGAUCAGUGGGUCGGUCGUGCCACUGGUAUGCACUGGCUCUACUGGUUCCUCCUUCUUGAAGAACUGUAAUGCCAUUAAUUUGGUGUUGCAGGGAAACAGGACUGUUACUUUGAAAAAAUUAGAGUGUUUAAAGCAGGCAAUCGCUUGAAUACAUUAGCAUGGAAUAAUGAAAUAGGACGAUCGAUCCUAUUUUGUUGGUUUCUAGGAUUGACGUAAUGAUUAAUAGGGAUAGUUGGGGGCAUUAGUAUUCAAUUGUCAGAGGUGAAAUUCUUGGAUUUAUUGAAGACUAACUAACUACUGCGAAAGCAUUUGCCAAGGAUGUUUUCAUUAAUCAAGAACGAAAGUUAGGGGAUCGAAGACGAUCAGAUACCGUCGUAGUCUUAACCAUAAACUAUGCCGACUAGGGAUCGGAUGAUGUUAAUUUUUUUAAUGACUCAUUCGGCGCCUUACG
Molecule: ribosomal RNA, 505 nt
Filed under: uncultured Glomus
Lineage: Eukaryota; Fungi; Glomeromycota; Glomeromycetes; Glomerales; Glomeraceae
Description: SSU rRNA
Rfam family: Eukaryotic small subunit ribosomal RNA
Source: RNAcentral